AGCGAACGCUGGCGGCAUGCUUAACACAUGCAAGUCGAACGGGAAGGCCCUGCUUUUGGCGGGGGCUCGGGGGGCAAACGGGUGAGAAGCACGUGGGUAACCUGCACUAGACUGGGGAAUAGCGGCUAAUAACGCAUGCUAAUACCGGGUCGAAGCUCCUGCUCCCCGUGGGGGCAGGGUGCGUUCGGGCGGUUGGGUAUGGACGCGCGGCCUAUCCGCUUGUUGGUGGGGUAGUGGCUUUCCAAGGCUUUGAAGGGUCGCGGGCCUGAGAGGGGGACCGGCCAAAUCGGGAUGGAGAUACGGCCCAGACUCGAACGGGAGGCAGCAGUGGGGAAGAUUGCACAAGGGGCGGAAGGCUGGUGCAGCCACGCCGUGUGGGGGAGGACGGCAUGCGGGUUGGAAUCUGCAUCCGUCUGUGACGAGGCGUGAGUGACGGUAAUGGGUGAAGAAGCACCGGCUAACUACGUG
Molecule: ribosomal RNA, 468 nt
Filed under: uncultured bacterium
Lineage: Bacteria
Description: partial 16S ribosomal RNA
Rfam family: Bacterial small subunit ribosomal RNA
Source: RNAcentral